RNAcentral lists this unclassified non-coding RNA (1357 nucleotides) under Octopus sinensis (East Asian common octopus). RNAcentral describes it as "protein LTO1 homolog, transcript variant X1". The record is from RNAcentral. Lineage: Eukaryota; Metazoa; Mollusca; Cephalopoda; Octopoda; Octopodidae.
UGUUAGAUAACAUCCGGUAGGGUUCCCUGCCUCGUCGUUUACCGUUCACAGAUUUGGUUGUCUCAGUCACCACUAUGUCUGUCGAGAACAUCCACAUCAAUGAUGUUCCUAAUGAUGUCGAUAUUUUUGAGUCUGUUGUGAUGCAAGAAGAAAGUUCUGUGAAGGCAGGUUAUUUGGCUGGUUUGAACCAUGGUACUGAAAAGGGUCAAGAAGAUGGUUAUCAACUUGGAUAUUCCUUGGGAUGCAGUGUUGGAAAUGAGAUCGGCUUCCUAAAGGGAUUUGUCUCAACAUGGUUGGCGUUACUUGACCAAUCUCCUGAUACUAAAGAGAAAACUUCCAAGGCAUUAACGUCUCUGCAAACUCUUCUUGGUAAAUAUCCUCUUGGAACUGUGAAUAGCACGUGUGUCACAGACCUGAAAAUGAUCCAAGCAAGAUUUAAAAAGGUUGUGUCGUUGCUGGAUAUAAAUAUUAGUUGGAGUCAGACGGCAUCCAAACAAGAAAGCUUAUCGUUUUAGCAAUCUGCUUUGUUUUGCUGAUUUUUUUUGAUUUUUUUUUUUUUUGCGAGGAGGUCGAGAGAGAGAUCCUGAUGUCUGAACUGUGUGAAGAAACCUCUGCAUUGAAACAACUUCUGGUGACUGUGUCUAAUGUUUUAUUCCUACCCUCAAGGUACCUCACCGGGCCAAAUGCUGAACUGCAUUUACUCCAAUUUUGCGUUCUGCAUUGAAGUUCCGCCAGGGUCGACUUUGCCUUUCAUCCCUUCAGGGUUGAUAAAAUAAGUACCAGUUGAAUACUGGGGAGUCGAUGUAAUUGACUCAACCCCUCCCCACAAAAAUUGUUAACCUUGUGCCAAAACACUUGAAACUAAUAUUUAUUCCUACACAACUCAGUGCCACACAAGAAUCUCUGAGUCAUUCUUAAUAUCAGUGUUCUUCCUGUGAAAAUUGGGGUUUAAGUUUUUACAGUAAUGGAGAGGAGUGGGGGGAAUGUUUGUUGUUGCUUUGUUUUGUUUUGUUUUUUUAUUUUGUCUUUGUUGUUAUUUUAUUGGCAGUAAUUUCGAUAUGUGUGAAUUUUGCAAAUGUAAGUAAGAACUUGAUGCCAUUACCAAAAAAAAUGUUUGCUGCAAGUCAUCAUUGAUUUCUCACAACGCCUGUCUGCUGUUAAUUCCAUUUGUGAAUGUGGACUUAGUUUCCAUCGAAAUUAAGUUUGGUAGGGAAUGGGUAUAACUUGCAGAUACUACACACACAUCUGAAGAAUUUGAUGACCAAAGAGUGGCAAAUUCAAAGCAAUUAGUAAAAAAAAUAUUAGCUUUGGUGUGACAGAACUAAUUAACAUGUGACAACUGACCUAAAAAAAAAAA